AUGUGCUGCAAUGUGUUCAGCUGCUUCUGUAUCAGCUGUUCUCUGAAAGCAACUUUGAAUGCCGACGAGCCUAAGGACACCCUCCAGCCUGCCAUUGCACUUGAAGCAAGAAAUAAUGAUAGUAUCAGAAUGGUCUGUGGCAAGUGGCAGGAAGACACACCAGGGUUCAAAGGAUGGGGUGACAGCAAGGGCCUCCAACCUGUUGCACUAACGCAUGCUGUGAACACUGCAUCCAAGGCAAGGUCUUGCAGAACUGGACCAAGAGCCCCUGAGGUAAUAGGAGACAGGAGGGUUGCAGCCAUAAAGCAUCUUGGGGGAUCAGUGGAGAACGUGACGUGGCCAGCAGACCAGCUGAAGUGUCUCUACACCAAUGCACACAGCAUGGGCAACAAGCAGGAGGAACUGGAAGCUGUCCUGCUACAGGAAAGCUAUGACAUAGGAGCAAUUACGGAAACUUGGUGGGAGGACUCCUAUGACUGGAGUGUGGCCAUCGAUGGCUACAAGCUGUUCAGAAGGGACAGGAGUGGAAGAAGGGGUGGAGGUGUUGCCCUCUAUGUAAAGAAGUGGCUAGAAUGUGAAGAGUUGUUGCUAAAGAGUAGCCAUGACCAGGUCGAAAGUUUAUGGGUAGGAAUUAGGGAUUGGGACAACAAAGGGAGCCUUGUGGUAGGAGUCUACUACAGGCCGCCUGACCAGGCGGAGCCUGUCAAUGAUGCCUUCUUACUCCAGCUUGAGGAGGCAUCACGAUCACAGGCUCUCAUCCUGCUGGGGGACUUUAACCACCCCGACAUCUGCUGGAAAAGCAACACAGCUGGCUGCAGACAAUCCAGGAAGCUCUUAGAGUGCCUAGAUGACAACUUCCUGCGACAAGAAAUUAACAGCCCUACUCGAGGAAAUGCAUUGUUGGAUCUGUUGAUCACAAAUGCAAGUGAAAUCAUCAGGGAUAUCAAAAUUGAAGGUAGCCUAGGCUGCAGUGAUCAUGCCCUAGUGCAGUUCACUGUCCUAAGGAGUUUGAAGCUCACCAGAAGCACAGUUAGGACUCUAAAUUUCAAGAAAGCAAACUUCCAGCUUUUCAAGGAGUUAGUAAAUAGGACCCCAUGGGAAACAGCCCUCAGGGACAAGGGAGCGGAACAAAGCUGGCAGAUCUUUAAGGAUGCUCUCUAUAGAGCACAAAAGAUCUCAAUCCCCACAUGUAGGAAAAUGGGCAAGGAGGGCAAGAGACCACCAUGGUUGAGCCAAGACCUGCUGGUCAAACUAAGGGGCAAGAUGGGGCUACACAGGAAAUGGAAGAAGGGACAGGCAUCCUGGGAAGAGUAUAGGGAUGCUGCCAAGAUGUGUAGGAAUGAGGUCAGGAAGGCCAAGGCACAGCUAGAACUGAACUUGGCAAGGGACGUAAAGAAAAAUAAGAAAGGCUUCUACAGGUACGUUAACCAGAAAAGGAAGGUUAAAGAAAAUGUACCCCCCCUGAUGUGCAACAGUGGGGAACUUGUAUCAACAGAUGAGGAGAAGGCAGAAGUUCUCAAUGAC
RNAcentral lists this long non-coding RNA (1524 nucleotides) under Calidris pugnax (ruff). RNAcentral's name for it is "lncRNA (ENSCPUG00000017333.1)". The record is from RNAcentral. Lineage: Eukaryota; Metazoa; Chordata; Aves; Charadriiformes; Scolopacidae.